CGCCAUCUAAGCACUUCUUCAUCCGCCUACCUUACAGUACUGCUUGUUCUAUUAAUUUCUUCUUCUAACAAGUCUUUGAUUUCGUCUGGUUAACCUUUUUCGCUGUCCUUUCUCAGCCAUAGCCAUUGUGGUUUUCCUGUUGCGAAUACAGUGUAUCCCAUAGACAGUCCAAACACCAAUCCACAUCCAAAGCCCAUCAUAGCAAAUUUCC
This 211-nucleotide unclassified non-coding RNA is filed under the name Hevea brasiliensis (rubber tree). The record is from RNAcentral. Lineage: Eukaryota; Viridiplantae; Streptophyta; Magnoliopsida; Malpighiales; Euphorbiaceae.